UACGAAGGGGGCUAGCGUUGCUCGGAAUUACUGGGCGUAAAGCGCACGUAGGCGGCUCUUUAAGUCGGGGGUGAAAUCCUGGAGCUCAACUCCAGAACUGCCUUCGAUACUGGAGAGCUUGAGUCCGGGAGAGGUGAGUGGAACUGCGAGUGUAGAGGUGAAAUUCGUAGAUAUUCGCAAGAACACCAGUGGCGAAGGCGGCUCACUGGCACGGUACUGACGCUGAGGUGCGAAAGCGUGGGGAGCAAACAGG
Molecule: ribosomal RNA, 253 nt
Filed under: uncultured bacterium
Lineage: Bacteria
Description: partial 16S ribosomal RNA
Rfam family: Bacterial small subunit ribosomal RNA
Source: RNAcentral